This 403-nucleotide ribosomal RNA is filed under the name uncultured bacterium. Its description in RNAcentral is "partial 16S ribosomal RNA". It matches the Rfam family "Bacterial small subunit ribosomal RNA", at positions 30 to 526 of the family's 1533-position model. The record is from RNAcentral.
AUUGAACGCUGGCGGCAGGCCUAACACAUGCAAGUCGAGCGAGCGGCGGACGGGUGAGUAAUGUAUGGGGACUGCCCGAUAGAGGGCGAUAACUACUGGAAACGGCAGCUAAUACAGCAUACUAUCGGAUAACCCAUAUGGGAUUAGCUAGUAGGUGAGGUAAUGGCUCACCUAGGCGACGAUCCCUAGCGGGUCUGAGAGGAUGAUCAGCCACACUGGGACUGAGACACGGCCAAGAAUCCUACGGAGGCAGCAGUGGGGAAUAUGGCGCAAUGGACGCAAGCCUGAGGCAGCCAUGCCGCGUGUAUGAAGAAGGCCCUAGGGUUGUAAAGUACUUUCAGUCGGGAGGCGUUACCGACAGAUGAAGCACCGGCUAACUCCGUGCCAGCAGCCGCGGUAAUAC